UCACUCACAUCUGUGUUCAGUCACCGUUAUUUCGAAGUGCCUACCCAGGUGGGAGCGCACAUGCUUGCAAUUCUAACAUUGAGGUGUUGAGUGACAUCUGAUCCGAUACGAGAGACUGAGGUUGCGGGUUCCCGAGGUCGAUGUGAAUCAUUGAAAUCUCACCUUAUCUUGUGGGUCCUGGAGUUCAAUCUCAGAUCAUCAGGCUGGGCAGCAAGUGCCUUCACCCUCCGAGCCAUCUUGCCAUCCCACAGCUGAGCGUCUAAUAUGACAUUGCCGAUGAAAAUAGUCAUCACAACAGCAGUUCUUCAGCAUUACGCUCCGUUCUGGCCACCUCUCUGGCUUCUUCCAUCACUUGCUCGCCGAAGCUGCCUGCCAGGAGUGGGUACCCGUCCAACACAAACUACUGCAGGACUCAAGAAGCGGAGAUAGUCCGGAAAGCGAGGCAGGCA
RNAcentral lists this non-coding RNA (449 nucleotides) under Rattus norvegicus (Norway rat). Lineage: Eukaryota; Metazoa; Chordata; Mammalia; Rodentia; Muridae. The record is from RNAcentral.